RNAcentral lists this ribosomal RNA (225 nucleotides) under uncultured bacterium. RNAcentral's name for it is "partial 16S ribosomal RNA". It matches the Rfam family "Bacterial small subunit ribosomal RNA", at positions 1267 to 1500 of the family's 1533-position model. The record is from RNAcentral.
GCGGAUCUCGAAAGCCUGUCCCAGUUCGGACUGGAGUCUGCAACCCGACUCCACGAAGUUGGAUUCGCUAGUAAUCGCGCAUCAGCCAUGGCGCGGUGAAUACGUUCCCGGGCCUUGUACACACCGCCCGUCAAGCCAUGGGAGCCGGGGGCGCCUGAAGUCCGGGACCGCGAGGACCGGCCUAGGGCGAAACUGGUAACUGGGGCUAAGUCGUAACAAGGUAUC